RNAcentral lists this ribosomal RNA (324 nucleotides) under uncultured eukaryote. RNAcentral describes it as "partial 18S ribosomal RNA". It matches the Rfam family "Eukaryotic small subunit ribosomal RNA", at positions 1470 to 1796 of the family's 1831-position model. The record is from RNAcentral.
CCCUUAGAUGUCCUGGGCUGCACGCGCGCUACACUGAUGUGUCCAGUAAGCACCUAACCUAUUCCGAGAGGAGCGGGUAACCUUAGCAAAGCACAUCGUGAUGGGGAUAGAUUAUUGCAAUUAUUAGUCUUGAACGAGGAAUUCCUAGUAAGCACAAGUCAUCAGCUUGUGUUGAUUACGUCCCUGCCCUUUGUACACACCGCCCGUCGCUCCUACCGAUUGAAUGUUCCGGUGAGCUCUUCGGACUGCGCGGUCUGCAUUUUCUGCGUUCCGUGCGGAAAGUUGUGCAAACCUUAACAUUUAGAGGAAGGAGAAGUCGUAACA